RNAcentral lists this ribosomal RNA (865 nucleotides) under uncultured bacterium. Its description in RNAcentral is "bacterial SSU rRNA". It matches the Rfam family "Bacterial small subunit ribosomal RNA", at positions 60 to 914 of the family's 1533-position model. The record is from RNAcentral.
AGUCGAACGGUAACGGGGAGGAGCUUGCUUCUCUGCCGACGAGUGGCGGACGGGUGAGUAAAGUCUGGGGAUCUGCCUGAUGGAGGGAGAUAACCACUGGAAACGGUGGCUAAUACCGCAUAAAGUUGCGAGACCAAAGCGAGGGACUUACGGGCCACGCGCCAUCAGAUGAACCCAGAUGGGAUUAGCUAGAAGGUGGGGUAAAGGCUCACCUUGGCGACGAUCUCUAGCUGGUCUGAGAGGAUGACCAGCCACACUGGAACUGAGAGACGGUCCAGACUCCUACGGGAGGCAGCAGUGGGGAAUAUUGCACAAUGGGGGAAACCCUGAUGCAGCCAUGCCGCGUGUGUGAAGAAGGCUUUCGGGUUGUAAAGCACUAUCAGCGGGGAAGAAGGCUUAAUGUUUAAGAGAUAUUAAGAUUGACGUUACCCGCAGAAGAAGCACCGGCAAACUCCGUGCCAGCAGCCGCGGUAAUACGGAGGGUGCGAGCGUUAAUCGGAAUUACUGGGCGUAAAGGGCACGCAGGCGGCGCAUUAAGUCAGAUGUGAAAUCCCCGGGCUCAACCUGGGAAUGGCAUUUGAAACUGGUGAGCUAGAGUUUUGUAGAGGGGGGUAGAAUUCCAGGUGUAGCGGUGGAAUGCGUAGAUAUCUGGAGGAAUACCGGUGGCGAAGGCGGCCCCCUGGACGAAGACUGACGCUCAUGUGCGAAAGCGUGGGUAGCAAACAGGAUUAGAUACCCUGGUAGUCCACGCUGUAAACGAUGUCGAUUGAGAGGAUGAAGCUAUAAGCAUUGUCUUCUGUAGCUAACGCGUUAAAUCGACCGCCUGGGGAGUACGGCCGCAAGGUUAAAACUCAAAUGAAUUGAC